Molecule: small nuclear RNA, 107 nt
Organism: Jaculus jaculus (lesser Egyptian jerboa)
Lineage: Eukaryota; Metazoa; Chordata; Mammalia; Rodentia; Dipodidae
Source: RefSeq, a predicted model, not a curated record
GUGCUUGCUUCAGCAGCACAUAUACUAAAAUUGGAACUUUACAAAGGUGAUUAGCAUGUCCCUUGAACAAGGAUGACAAGGAUGACACACAAAUUCAUGAAGAAUUU